AAUGAACGCUGGCGGUGUGCCUAACACAUGCAAGUCGAACGACAGCACAGUAAGCGCUUGCCCUUACUGUUGGCGGGUGACGGACGGGUGACGCAUGCAUAGGCAUCUUCUAUUUCGUGGAGAAUAUCGUAGGAACACUUACGCUACUACCUCAUACGAUCUACGGGUGGGAGCAAAAGAUCUAGGCAGCUUUCGCGUUUCUAUUAGCCGAUGUCGGAUUAGCUAGUUGGCGGGGUAAGGGCCCACCAAGGCGACGAUGCGUAGCUGGUCUGAGAGGAUGAUCAGCCACACUGGAACUGAGACACGGUCCAGACUCCUACGGGAGGCAGCAGUGGGGAAUAUUGGACAAUGGGCGCAAGCCUGACCCAGCAAUACCGCGUGAGUGAAGAAGGUCUUCGGGUUGUAAAGCUCUGUUGUUAGGAAAGAAAAGCUGCGGGUUAAUACGUCGCUGUUCUGACGGUACCCAAAGAAUAAGCACCGGCUAACUUCGUG
This 492-nucleotide ribosomal RNA is filed under the name uncultured bacterium. RNAcentral describes it as "partial 16S ribosomal RNA". It matches the Rfam family "Bacterial small subunit ribosomal RNA", at positions 29 to 507 of the family's 1533-position model. The record is from RNAcentral.